This 870-nucleotide ribosomal RNA is filed under the name uncultured bacterium. RNAcentral describes it as "bacterial SSU rRNA". It matches the Rfam family "Bacterial small subunit ribosomal RNA", at positions 57 to 919 of the family's 1533-position model. RNAcentral also lists the same sequence under 1 other name. The record is from RNAcentral.
GCAAGUCGAGCGGCAAGGGCCUUCGGGCCCCUAGAGCGGCGGACGGGUGAGUAACACGUGGACAAUCUGCCCCCCGGUCCGGGAUAGCCCAGGGAAACCUGGAUUAAUACCGGAUGCGAGCGCGAGCACACAGGUGUUUGCGGGGAAAGGCGCUUCGGCGCCGCCGGGGGAUGAGUCCGCGGCCCAUUAGCUAGACGGCGGGGUUAAGGCCCACCGUGGCGACGAUGGGUAGCCGGCCUGAGAGGGUGAUCGGCCACAUUGGAACUGAGACACGGUCCAGACUCCUACGGGAGGCAGCAGCUAAGAAUCUUCCGAAAUGGGCGAAAGCCUGACGGAGCGACGCCGCGUGAACGAUGAAGGCCGUGAGGUUGUAAAGUUCCUUUCCGGAGGAGGAUUAACCGGGGCAGGGAAUGGCCUUGCGAUGACGUGAAUCCCGGAAUAAGCCCCGGCUAACUACGUGCCAGCAGCCGCGGUAACACGUAGGGGGCGAGCGUUGUUCGGAAUCAUUGGGCGUGAAGGGCGUGCAGGCGGCCCUGCAAGUCCGGCGUGAAAUGCUCCGGCUCAACCCGGGAGACGCGCUGGAAACUGCGGGGCUGGAGUACAGGAGGGGAUGCCGGAAUUCCAGGUUUAGGGGUGAAAUCUGUAGAUAUCUGGAGGAACACCAAUGGCGAAGGCAGGCAUCUGGCCAUGUACUGACGCUGAGACGCGAAGGUGCGGGGAGCAACCAGGUUUAGAUACCCUGGUAUUCCGCACAGUGAACGAUUUGCACCAGGUGGCGGGGGGUCGACCCCCGGUACCGAAGCUAACGCAUUAAGUGCACCGCCUGGGGAGUAUGCUCGCAAGGGUGAAACUCAAAGGAAUUGACGGGGG